GAAAUGCGAUAAGUAAUGUGAAUUGCAGAAUUCAGUGAAUCAUCGAAUCUUUGAACGCACCUUGCGCUCCUUGGUAUUCCUUGGAGCAUGCCUGUUUGAAUAUCAUGAAAUCUUCAAAGUAAAUCUUUUGUUAACUCAAUUGGUUUCUACUUUGGUAUUGGAGGUCUUUGCAGCUUCACACCUGCUCCUCUUUGUUCAUUAGCUGGAUCUCAGUGUUAUGCUUGGUUCCACUCGGCGUGAUAAGUUAUCUAUCGCUGAGGACACUGUAAAAGGUGGCCAAGGUAAAUGCAGAUGAACCGCUUCUAAUAGUCCAUUGACUUGGACAAUACUUUUAUGAUCUGAUCUCAAAUCAGGUAGGACUACCCGCUGAACUUAAGC
This 378-nucleotide unclassified non-coding RNA is filed under the name plant metagenome. RNAcentral's name for it is "partial contains 5.8S ribosomal RNA, internal transcribed spacer 2, and large subunit ribosomal RNA". The stretch from base 1 to 105 matches the Rfam family "5.8S ribosomal RNA", at positions 50 to 154 of the family's 154-position model. The record is from RNAcentral.